CCUACGGGUGGCAGCAGUGGGGAAUAUUGCACAAUGGCCGAAACCCUGAUCCAGCAACGCCGCGUGAGGGAAGACGGUUUUCGGAUUGUAAACUUCUGUUCUUCGUGAAGAAUAAUGACGGUAGCUAAGGAGCAAGCCACGACUAACUACAGGCCAGCAGCCGCGGUCAUACGUAGGUGGCAAGCGUUGUCCGGAAUUACUGGGGGUAAAGGGAGCGCAGGCGGGAAUCUAAGUCAGCUGUGAAAACUACGGGCUUAACUUGUAGAGUGCAGUUGAAACUGGUGUUCUUGAGUGAAGGAGAGGUUGGCGGAAUGCCGGGUGUAGCGGUGAAAUGCGUAGAUAUUCGGAGGAACACCGGUGGCGAAGGCGGCCAACUGGGCUUUAACUGACGCUGAGGCUCGAAAGCGUGGGGAGCAAACAGGAUUAGAUACCCGAGUAGUC
This 441-nucleotide ribosomal RNA is filed under the name uncultured bacterium. Its description in RNAcentral is "partial 16S ribosomal RNA". It matches the Rfam family "Bacterial small subunit ribosomal RNA", at positions 338 to 795 of the family's 1533-position model. The record is from RNAcentral.